Molecule: long non-coding RNA, 310 nt
Filed under: Elaeis guineensis (African oil palm)
Lineage: Eukaryota; Viridiplantae; Streptophyta; Magnoliopsida; Arecales; Arecaceae
Description: long non-coding RNA (EGUI_LNC062990)
Source: RNAcentral
AUUGAAACUCCUAUUUAUCCUUUAUCACUUGGGAGACUAUUCAAAACAAGGUGAUGGGCUCAAUCCAAAUAUGAAUAUGCCACUAAAUAAAAAAUUAUUCAGUGGAUAUCCCAAAAUUGUCUGCAAGUACCUCUCACUCUUGAAACUCUAAAAACCUUCCAACAACCACCAGAUAUUAAUACAAGUCUUGCUUCUACAAAGUCAAAAACAAAAUAUAAAAAUUUUCUCCAAAAAUUACUCUUAGAAUUAGAAGAAGGAAAAGAAGGAAAAAAAGACUACGCUAAUCCUUCUAAUUAAAAGAACAAAGAAG